Molecule: ribosomal RNA, 430 nt
Filed under: uncultured bacterium
Lineage: Bacteria
Description: bacterial SSU rRNA
Rfam family: Bacterial small subunit ribosomal RNA
Source: RNAcentral
UGGGGAAUAUUGCGCAAUGGGCGAAAGCCUGACGCAGCGACGCCGCGUGGAGGAUGAAGGUCUUCGGAUUGUAAACUCCUGUCAGAUGGGAAGAAAAGAUUUGUUUUUAAUAGAGAUAAAUUAUGACGGUACCAUCAGAGGAAGCACCGGCUAACUUCGUGCCAGCAGCCGCGGUAAUACGAAGGGUGCGAGCGUUAUUCGGAAUCACUGGGCGUAAAGGGUGCGUAGACGGUAUGUUAAGUUUGUCGUUAAAGACUCUAGCCUAACUGGAGGGUUGCGAUGAAAACUGGCGUACUAGAGGGUGAGAGAGAGAAGUGGAAUUCCUGGAGUAGCGGUAAAAUGCGUGGAUCUCAGGAGGAACACCAAUGGCGAAGGCAGCUUCUUGGCUCAUUCCUGACGUUGAGGCACGAAAGCGUGGGGAGCAAACAGG